This 637-nucleotide unclassified non-coding RNA is filed under the name Hevea brasiliensis (rubber tree). Lineage: Eukaryota; Viridiplantae; Streptophyta; Magnoliopsida; Malpighiales; Euphorbiaceae. The record is from RNAcentral.
AAAAAAAAAAAAAGAAAUGUGGAUGGAACAUCACAUCAACACACAAUCCAGUACUGAAGAAAACUAAAACAACUAAAUAAUGUACUUGCUAAUGCAAACCACAUGAAUGUAUGCUCAUAAAGAUUAAAAAGAACAGUCAAAACUUACUUUGGCUUUAACUCUAAAAUGGCUCCAGCGUAAACUAAAGUUUGCUUGAAGAUAUCUUUCACAUCUGCAUCUGUAGAAAACUCAAUCAAAGCCGUGCCACAAAAAACCCUUUUGUCUGCCACAUGACGAGGAAGCCUCACACUAUUAACCUAUAACACCAAUAAAAGAAUUCAAAACCAGAAAAUAAAAUAGUAAAUGCAUAUGAACCAAUAUCAAAACCAUAGGCACAUAGCCAAAGACUCCUCCACUCUCCUUUUUUUGAAGCACCUGAUAAAAUUUUCUGGAUAUUAUAUUCGAUACUCAACUUAUAUAAUAAUUAGGACAAAGGUUCUAUCAAUAAUAUAAACUAUCCAUGGAUCAAUUUUUAAUCAAAGAAUCUUUCAUAACCAACGACAUCAAAUAUGAAAGAUGAAACAUCCAUAGCACCAAUACAACCCUUCAAAUCUUAAAAGUGAGUACAAUUAUAUCAAUAAAUCAUAAAUGACCGAAG